Molecule: ribosomal RNA, 433 nt
Filed under: uncultured bacterium
Lineage: Bacteria
Description: bacterial SSU rRNA
Rfam family: Bacterial small subunit ribosomal RNA
Source: RNAcentral
GAUGAACGCUGGCGGCGUGCUUAACACAUGCAAGUCGAGCGAAGCACCUUGAAGUUUUCGGACCAAGAGGUGACUGAGUGGCGGACGGGUGAGUAACGCGUGGGUAACCUGCCCUGUACAGGGGGAUAACAGCUGGAAACGGCUGCUAAUACCGCAUAAGCGCACAGGAAGACAUCUUCUGGUGUGAAAAACUCCGGUGGUACAGGAUGGGCCCGCGUCUGAUUAGCUUGUUGGCGGGGUAAGGGCCCACCAAGGCGACGAUCAGUAGCCGGUCUGAGAGGAUGAACGGCCACAUUGGAACUGAGACACGGUCCAAACUCCUACGGGAGGCAGCAGUGGGGAAUAUUGCACAAUGGGGGAAACCCUGAUGCAGCAACGCCGCGUGAGUGAAGAAGUAUUUCGGUAUGUAAAGCUCUAUCAGCAGGGAAGAUAA